ACUCUCUCUCUUUCUCUCUCUCUUUCUUUUCACUCUCUCUCUCUCUCCCCCUCUCUUCUUCUCUUGCGGGCAGAGAAGAAACCCACGCGCGCACGCGGUGAUGUCUUACUGGUGAUAAUUGGCCCAGGGGUCGUUAUGAACAUACCUCUCUCUGCUUGAGGACCAGCUCAGCCCCUCAUGUCCCCGAAAUGCUUUGCAAAGACACCGCUCACCCGCCUGUGUCUUCUUUUGAGCUCUGGAGCACUGUUGAUUGAUCAUCCGUGUAAGCCAAUCCUAUACAAGUCCACCCUGUUUAACCAGGUCAAACGCAAAUGCCUUCCGUGUUCUGUCAGAAGAGUGCAUGUGCCCGGAGGGUGAGGAUCAAUGCUUCUCUCGCACCAAUUAAGACCACUCUUUGACUGCUCACAGCAAAUGUUCCCGAACAGUGGAUUUGGAGGAGGGGUUCUGCUUUUCUCAGACCGUGAGAGGCAUGGAUCACAGCAUCUGUAGCUGAGUGGCGUGUUACCGUAGGAAGAGAGAAGCCUCUCUUGAUACUUAUGUGUAGCUUUAGCGUAGAUCUGUCGCGUUAGUCUCACCAGCCAAACUGAUCUCCUCACAUACAGCAUCUCUGCUCCCAACGGUGAGGAGCAGCGAGGCAGGAAGAGCUGCCUAGGCUUGCUGUGGCACGCCUCCCUGGGUGCUCUAUCUUACCUUGUGUCAGCCGUGCUAUAGAUGACCCCUCCUAUGUCUAAGCAGUGUUGAAAAUAUUGUUUUAGUUCAAUAUAUAGCCAUCUCUAACGAAAUCUGUGCUGUUUUAGCAGAAUUAUUAAUAAACAGUUUUCUUUCCGCUCAAAAAAAAAAAAAAAAA
Molecule: long non-coding RNA, 847 nt
Filed under: Mus musculus (house mouse)
Lineage: Eukaryota; Metazoa; Chordata; Mammalia; Rodentia; Muridae
Description: prospero homeobox 1, opposite strand (Prox1os)
Source: RNAcentral